UCCCCGUUACCGGGGCAGUCUGAAUAGAAAAAUACAACUAUCCACAGGGGUUGCGCUCGUUGAAGGACUUAACCUAACAUCUCACGACACGAGCUGACGACGGCCAUGCAACACCUGUCACCGAGUUCCGGCUCUCAAUACACAAUUUUAAAAAAUUCUGUACUCAGAGCCGGCACUCACUCCUUUCGGAGUGAUUCUCAGGAUGUCAAGUCUGGGUAAGGUUCUUGGCUUAGCAUCCAAUUAAACAACACGCUCCACCGCUUGUGCGGGUCCCCGUCAAUUCCUUUGAGUUUUAAUCUUGCGACCGUACUCCCCAGGUGGGAUGCUUAACGCGUUAGCUUCGCUACUGAACGGGUCGAUACGUCCAACAGCUAGCAUCCAUAGUUUACGGCGUGGACUA
Molecule: unclassified non-coding RNA, 400 nt
Filed under: uncultured bacterium
Lineage: Bacteria
Description: contains 16S-23S intergenic spacer region
Source: RNAcentral